Molecule: transfer RNA, 74 nt
Filed under: Candidatus Thiomargarita nelsonii
Lineage: Bacteria; Pseudomonadati; Pseudomonadota; Gammaproteobacteria; Thiotrichales; Thiotrichaceae
Description: tRNA-Gln
Rfam family: tRNA
About the family: Transfer RNA (tRNA) molecules are approximately 80 nucleotides in length. Their secondary structure includes four short double-helical elements and three loops (D, anti-codon, and T loops).
Source: RNAcentral
UGGGGUGUAGCCAAGCGGUAAGGCACUGGGUUUUGGUCUCGGGAUCCCAGGUUCGAAUCCUGGCACCCCAGCCA